Molecule: ribosomal RNA, 205 nt
Filed under: Clostridioides difficile
Lineage: Bacteria; Bacillati; Bacillota; Clostridia; Peptostreptococcales; Peptostreptococcaceae
Description: partial 16S ribosomal RNA
Rfam family: Bacterial small subunit ribosomal RNA
Source: RNAcentral
UAAGCUCUUGAAACUGGGAGACUUGAGUGCAGGAGAGGAGAGUGGAAUUCCUAGUGUAGCGGUGAAAUGCGUAGAUAGUAGGAGGAACACCAGUUGCGAAGGCGGCUCUCUGGACUGUAACUGACGCGGAGGCACGAAAGCGUGGGGAGCAAACAGGAUUAGAUACCCUGGUAGUCCACGCUGUAAACGAUGAGUACUAGGUGUC